Long non-coding RNA from Xenopus tropicalis (tropical clawed frog), 254 nucleotides. RefSeq lists it as uncharacterized. The transcript has 3 exons. NCBI's taxonomy places the organism in Eukaryota, Metazoa, Chordata, Amphibia, Anura, Pipidae. The record is from RefSeq and is a predicted model, not a curated record.
ACAUGGAAGGGACGAAGAAGAAAUAGACAACAUCACAAGCCAUAUGGAUUAUCCACACCUUCUCAGUGUUUCCCAUAGCAUAAGGCUGACUCCUUGAUCCCUGCUGCAGUUUGCCAAGUACAUGGCAUAAAUCAAAGAGCAGACCAGGAACAUAAAAAUGAUGUUUUUGCCACAAUGGUCUUUUUGUGUGGGUGAGUGUCCUCAGGUGAAUGAUUGGAAUAUAACAUACCCAUCAGAAGAAGACUUUUUAACGG